GGGGGUGUAGCUCAGUUUGGUUAGAGCGCUGGCCUGUCACGCCAGAGGUCGCGGGUUCGAGUCCCGUCACUCCCGCCA
This 78-nucleotide transfer RNA is filed under the name Rhodospirillaceae bacterium. RNAcentral describes it as "tRNA-Asp". It matches the Rfam family "tRNA". Rfam says of the family: Transfer RNA (tRNA) molecules are approximately 80 nucleotides in length. Their secondary structure includes four short double-helical elements and three loops (D, anti-codon, and T loops). Lineage: Bacteria; Pseudomonadati; Pseudomonadota; Alphaproteobacteria; Rhodospirillales; Rhodospirillaceae. The record is from RNAcentral.